AGUGAACGCUGGCGGUAGGCCUAACACAUGCAAGUCGAACGGCAGCACAGUAAGAGCUUGUUCUUACGGGUGGCGAGUGGCGGACGGGUGAGGAAUACGUCGGACUCUACUUUUUCGUGGGGGAUAACGUAGGGAAACUUACGAUAAUACCGCAUACGACCUACGGGUGAAAGCAGGGGAUCUUCGGACCUUGCGCGAUUGAAUGAGCCGAUGUCGGAUUAGCUAGUUGGCGGGGUAAAGGCCCACCAAGGCGACGAUCCGUAGCUGGUCUGAGAGGAUGAUCAGCCACACUGGAACUGAGACACGGUCCAGACUCCUACGGGAGGCAGCAGUGGGGAAUAUUGGACAAUGGGCGCAAGCCUGAUCCAGCCAUACCGCGUGGGUGAAGAAGGCCUUCGGGUUGUAAAGCCCUUUUGUUGGGAAAGAAAAGCAGCAGGUUAAUACCCCGCUGUUCUGACGGUACCCAAAGAAUAAGCACCGGCUAACUUCGUG
RNAcentral lists this ribosomal RNA (492 nucleotides) under uncultured bacterium. RNAcentral describes it as "partial 16S ribosomal RNA". It matches the Rfam family "Bacterial small subunit ribosomal RNA", at positions 29 to 507 of the family's 1533-position model. The record is from RNAcentral.